AUUUAUCCUAUGGUAAAAAAUAAAUUAGAUCAAUAUGUAUCACUUUGAGUAGAUCUCAAAAGACAGUGUUCAGUGAAAAAGAAAAAAAUAAAGCCCCAGAUGAUAUGUAUAGCAAAACUUGGUUUAUGUAAAUAAAACUGCAGAACAGUUAUAUAUUUUCUGUGAACACAAUUAUGUACAUAAAAUGCAUUUUAAACAAUUGGAAGGAACUCAUCAAAUUCAUAAUAGUGUUUCUCCUGGUGGUUGUGGAAGUCUGAGGAGAUGUUAGCUUUAUUCAUUAUGUCUCCAUUUUCUUGGUAAAGGACACUAUAUUCAUAUGUUAUUUAUAUACUUUUUAAAGGUAUAGACAAAAUGUAAGAAGGAAAAGCACAAAUGCCAAGAUGUUUUACAGUGAUUAUUUCUUAGGGGUGAGAGCAUAAACAAUGACAUCCAGGGUGAACGCUGGCAGAAAGGGCAGUGAUGGGAUGCCUGGGUGUGCAAGGUGGCAGUAAUGGUUAGAAUGGAGGAGGGGGUGCUCCCAGGCAAUGACUCAGCUUCCACUGGGUGCCAAGGUUUCAAAUAACCCUCCUUGCAGUGGGUUUUGGCCAAGUCUACCCAGGGUGCUCUUUUCAGGUAAGACUCCUCCUCUUCUUAGGAAACUCCUUCUCCCUCCUCUUUUAUUUCAGAAUACCAUCUGAUGGCUCAGCAGCCUAGCACUCUCUGCCCCUCUGGGAAGACAGAAGCCCCCUACCCUUCCAGAGCAGCAAAGAAAGGGUAGGCAAAGGGAAGACAGCCGGAGCUCUCACACCUGCAGCAAAAGGAAUGGAAACCAUGCAACACCUGGCAGACAGGUAGCAGGAGCUCACCAGCAUAGCCAAAGUGCCUUUCUCCAAACACCAGGACAACUCCUGCUUGCUCCAGCCCAGGGGUCUCUCAGUGAAUGGAGCUACCACCAAGUCAUCGUUGACUCAUGUCCUGCUUUCACCUCUGCAUCUUGUAAAUCAGCAUGUCCUAGACCCCAAUACCUUCUCAUCACCUCCACCGUAACCACAGGAGUCAAGCCUCAUCACCUCCUGAUGGAUUAUUUUGCAAAAGCCUCCUAAACAGUUUCUGGUUUUGUUUUUAAACUCUACCCCCAACAUGGGACUCAAACUCACAACUCCAAGAUCAAGAGUCGCAUGCCAUACCGACUGAGCCAGCCAGGGGCCCUCUAACUAGUUUCUUUGCUUCAUUUGUCCUUCAGCCCGAGUGAUCCAAGUUGGGGGGUUGACCAGCUGCAGCCAGCAAGCCAAAUCUGGUCCAUGAGCUAAAAAUGAUUUUCAUGUUAUUAAAUGGUUGGAAAAAAAUUCCAAAGAAUAAUAUUUUGUGACACAUGAGAAUAUGAGAUUCAGAUUUUAUUGUCCAUACAUAAAUUUUAUAGGAAUACAGUCAUGCUCAUUUGUUUAUGUAUUGCCCAUGGCUGCUUCCGCAGAGCUGAAGAGUUGGUACAGUGAUCAUACAGCCAGCAAAGGCUAACUACCAGGGUCAUCAUCCCCUCCCCAAUCUCCUCCGAGGGCUUCCUCCUCCCCCCAGAAGGAGACCCAAAGUCCCAGAGGUGCCCCCUGCCUCUCUGACUCUUCCCCUGUCCUCCGACCACACCAGCACCACCGCACUUAAGUCUACUGACUUUGGGUCCCCUCCCCUCAUUCAUUGUGUAUGCUAACCUUUCCUCCUCAGAAAUGCUGUUUCUCUCUUGUGAUGCUCUUCUGUUCUUUGUGUAAGUGGCUCCAUUUUCUCCAGGUUUCCACUCUUUUUUUUUUUUAAG
This is a long non-coding RNA of Vulpes vulpes (red fox), 1783 nucleotides long. NCBI's taxonomy places the organism in Eukaryota, Metazoa, Chordata, Mammalia, Carnivora, Canidae. The record is from Ensembl.